This 305-nucleotide ribosomal RNA is filed under the name uncultured bacterium. RNAcentral's name for it is "bacterial SSU rRNA". It matches the Rfam family "Bacterial small subunit ribosomal RNA", at positions 335 to 638 of the family's 1533-position model. The record is from RNAcentral.
AGCCUACGGGACGCAGCAGUGAGGAAUAUUGGUCAAUGGGCGGAAGCCUGAACCAGCCAAGUCGCGUGAGGGAAUAAGGCCCUACGGGUCGUAAACCUCUUUUGCCGGGGAGCAAGGGCCGGGACGCGUCCCGGCCCGGAGAGUACCCGGAGAAAAAGCAUCGGCUAACUCCGUGCCAGCAGCCGCGGUAAUACGGAGGAUGCGAGCGUUAUCCGGAUUUAUUGGGUUUAAAGGGUGCGUAGGCGGUCUUUUAAGUCAGCGGUAAAAAUUCGGGGCUCAACCCCGUCCUGCCGUCGAAACUGGGG